AACGCUAGCUACAGGCUUAACACAUGCAAGUCGAGGGGCAGCAUAAACUUAGCUUGCUAAGUUUGAUGGCGACCGGCGCACGGGUGAGUAACACGUAUCCAACCUUCCGUUUACUCAGGGAUAGCCUUUCGAAAGAAAGAUUAAUACCUGAUAGUAUGGUGAGAUUGCAUGAUAGCACCAUUAAAGAUUUAUUGGUAAACGAUGGGGAUGCGUUCCAUUAGGUAGUAGGCGGGGUAACGGCCCACCUAGCCGACGAUGGAUAGGGGUUCUGAGAGGAAGGUCCCCCACAUUGGAACUGAGACACGGUCCAAACUCCUACGGGAGGCAGCAGUGAGGAAUAUUGGUCAAUGGGCGAGAGCCUGAACCAGCCAAGUAGCGUGAAGGAUGAAGGUCCUACAGAUUGUAAACUUCUUUUAUACGGGAAUAAAGUUUCCUACGUGUAGGAUUUUGUAUGUACCGUAUGAAUAAGCAUCGGCUAACUCCGUGCCAGCAGCCGCGGUAAUACGGAGGAUGCGAGCGUUAUCCGGAUUUAUUGGGUUUAAAGGGAGCGCAGACGGGAGAUUAAGUCAGUUGUGAAAGUUUGCGGCUCAACCGUAAAAUUGCAGUUGAUACUGGUUUCCUUGAGUGCAGUUGAGGCAGGCGGAAUUCGUGGUGUAGCGGUGAAAUGCUUAGAUAUCACGAAGAACUCCGAUUG
RNAcentral lists this ribosomal RNA (694 nucleotides) under uncultured bacterium. RNAcentral describes it as "bacterial SSU rRNA". It matches the Rfam family "Bacterial small subunit ribosomal RNA", at positions 32 to 715 of the family's 1533-position model. The record is from RNAcentral.